GACGAGAAGCUUGCUUCUCUGAUGUUAGCGGCGGACGGGUGAGUAACACGUGGAUAACCUACCUAUAAGACUGGGAUAACUUCGGGAAACCGGAGCUAAUACCGGAUAAUAUUUUGAACCGCAUGGUUCAAAAGUAAAAGACGGUCUUGCUGUCACUUAUAGAUGGAUCCGCGCUGCAUUAGCUAGUUGGUAAGGUAACGGCUUACCAAGGCAACGAUGCAUAGCCGACCUGAGAGGGUGAUCGGCCACACUGGAACUGAGACACGGUCCAGACUCCUACGGGAGGCAGCAGUAGGGAAUCUUCCGCAAUGGGCGAAAGCCUGACGGAGCAACGCCGCGUGAGUGAUGAAGGUCUUCGGAUCGUAAAACUCUGUUAUUAGGGAAGAACAUAUGUGUAAGUAACUGUGCACAUCUUGACGGUACCUAAUCAGAAAGCCACGGCUAACUACGUGCCAGCAGCCGCGGUAAUACGUAGGUGGCAAGCGUUAUCCGGAAUUAUUGGGCGUAAAGCGCGCGUAGGCGGUUUUUUAAGUCUGAUGUGAAAGCCCACGGCUCAACCGUGGAGGGUCAUUGGAAACUGGAAAACUUGAGUGCAGAAGAGGAAAGUGGAAUUCCAUGUGUGGCGGUGAAAUGCGCAGAGAUAUGGAGGAACACCAGUGGCGAAGGCGACUUUCUGGUCUGUAACUGACGCUGAUGUGCGAAAGCGUGGGGAUCAAACAGGAUUAGAUACCCUGGUAGUCCACGCCGUAAACGAUGAGUGCUAAGUGUUAGGGGGUUUCCGCCCCUUAGUGCUGCAGCUACGCAUUAAGCACUCCGCCUGGGGAG
This 825-nucleotide ribosomal RNA is filed under the name uncultured Staphylococcus sp. Its description in RNAcentral is "bacterial SSU rRNA". It matches the Rfam family "Bacterial small subunit ribosomal RNA", at positions 69 to 880 of the family's 1533-position model. Lineage: Bacteria; Bacillati; Bacillota; Bacilli; Caryophanales; Staphylococcaceae. The record is from RNAcentral.